AUACGGAGGGUGCGAGCGUUAUCCGGAUUUAUUAGGUUUAAAGGGUGUGUAGGCGGGAGCCUAAGUCAGUGGUGAAAUCUCACAGCUUAACUGUGAAACUGCCAUUGAAACUGGGUUUCUUGAGUAUAGUUGAGGUAGGCGGAAUGUGUAAUGUAGCGGUGAAAUGCAUAGAUAUUACACUGAACACCGAUUGCGAAGGCAGCUUACUAAGCUAUUACUGACGCUGAUGCACGAAAGCGUGGGUAGCGAACAGGAUUAGAAACCCUAGUAGUCC
RNAcentral lists this ribosomal RNA (274 nucleotides) under uncultured bacterium. Its description in RNAcentral is "partial 16S ribosomal RNA". It matches the Rfam family "Bacterial small subunit ribosomal RNA", at positions 523 to 796 of the family's 1533-position model. The record is from RNAcentral.